ACACCCUCAAGCGCUGCUUGGUGUUGGGCGUCUGUCCCGCCUCCCGGGCGUGGACUCGCCUUAAAGCGAUUGGCGGCUGGUAUGAAGGCCUGGAGUGCAGCAGGAUUGCGCUCCUCGUCCGGAGGCCGGCUCCCACAAGCUACCCCCAUCAU
This 152-nucleotide unclassified non-coding RNA is filed under the name uncultured Teichospora. RNAcentral's name for it is "sequence contains ITS2". The record is from RNAcentral. Lineage: Eukaryota; Fungi; Ascomycota; Dothideomycetes; Pleosporales; Teichosporaceae.